RNAcentral lists this ribosomal RNA (449 nucleotides) under Staphylococcus sp. MAL52. RNAcentral's name for it is "bacterial SSU rRNA". It matches the Rfam family "Bacterial small subunit ribosomal RNA", at positions 947 to 1395 of the family's 1533-position model. The record is from RNAcentral. Lineage: Bacteria; Bacillati; Bacillota; Bacilli; Caryophanales; Staphylococcaceae.
UAAUUCGAAGCAACGCGAAGAACCUUACCAAAUCUUGACAUCCUUUGACCGCUCUAGAGAUAGAGUCUUCCCCUUCGGGGGACAAAGUGACAGGUGGUGCAUGGUUGUCGUCAGCUCGUGUCGUGAGAUGUUGGGUUAAGUCCCGCAACGAGCGCAACCCUUAAGCUUAGUUGCCAUCAUUAAGUUGGGCACUUUAGGUUGACUGCCGGUGACAAACCGGAGGAAGGUGGGGAGGACGUCAAAUCAUCAUGCCCCUUAUGAUUUGGGCUACACACGUGCUACAAUGGAUAAUACAAAGGGCAGGGAAUCCGGGAGGCCAAGCAAAUCCCAUAAAAUUAUUCUCAGUUCGGAUUGUAGUCUGCAACUCGACUACAUGAAGCUGGAAUCGCUAGUAAUCGUAGAUCAGCAUGCUACGGUGAAUACGUUCCCGGGUCUUGUACACCCCGCCC